RNAcentral lists this ribosomal RNA (960 nucleotides) under human gut metagenome. RNAcentral's name for it is "bacterial LSU rRNA". It matches the Rfam family "Bacterial large subunit ribosomal RNA", at positions 1955 to 2925 of the family's 2925-position model. The record is from RNAcentral.
GGUAGCGAAAUUCCUUGUCGGGUAAGUUCCGACCUGCACGAAUCGUGAAACGAGUUGGGCACUGUCUCAACCAGGCGCUCAGUGAAAUUGUAGUGGCGGUGAAGAUGCCGCCUACCCGCAGAAGGACGGAAAGACCCUAUAGACCUUAACUGUAAGCUGUCAUUGUUUCUUCGGUUUUAAUGCUCAGAGUAAGUGGGAGACGCUGAAGACGCCCUUUAGGGGGCGUCGGAGUCAUCAAUGAGACACCACCCUUUGAAACUGGAGGAUCUAACCCUGAGCCGUGAAUCCGGCCAGAGGACCGUGUCAGCCGGUCAGUUUUACUGGGGCGGUAUCCUCCCAAAGAGUAACGGAGGAGCGCGAAGGUGGGCUCAGCCCGGUUGGCAACCGGGUGUCGAGUGCAUGGGCAUAAGCCCGCCUAACUGUGAGACCAACAAGUCGAGCAGAUGCGAAAGCAGGCCCAAGUGAUCCGGCGGUAGAAAGUGGAAUUGCCGUCGCUCAACGGAUAAAAGGUACCUUAGGGAUAACAGGCUGAUCACGCCCAAGAGUUCAUAUCGACGGCGUGGUUUGGCACCUCGAUGUCGGCUCGUCGCAUCCUGGGGCUGGAGAAGGUCCCAAGGGUCCGGCUGUUCGCCGGUUAAAGCGGCACGCGAGCUGGGUUCAGAACGUCGCGAGACAGUUCGGUCCUCUAUCCUCUGUGGGCGUUGGAAAAUUGAGGGGUUCAGACCUUAGUACGAGAGGACCGGGUCUGACGCACCACUGGUGCAUCGGUUGUACUGUCAAGUGCAUGGCCGAGUAGCUAAGUGCGGACGGGAUAAGCGCUGAAAGCAUCUAAGCGCCAAGCCCAUCCCAAGAUGAGUUUUCCCUAUAGGUUCGUGGAAGACCACCACGUUGAUAGGUCGCAGGUGUAAGUGCAGCAAUGUAUUGAGCCAAGCGAUACUAAUCACCAAUAGACUUCAUCAU